Molecule: ribosomal RNA, 465 nt
Filed under: uncultured Klebsiella sp.
Lineage: Bacteria; Pseudomonadati; Pseudomonadota; Gammaproteobacteria; Enterobacterales; Enterobacteriaceae
Description: bacterial SSU rRNA
Rfam family: Bacterial small subunit ribosomal RNA
Source: RNAcentral
CCUACGGGUGGCAGCAGUGGGGAAUAUUGCACAAUGGGCGCAAGCCUGAUGCAGCCAUGCCGCGUGUGUGAAGAAGGCCUUCGGGUUGUAAAGCACUUUCAGCGGGGAGGAAGGCGUUAAGGUUAAUAACCUUGGCGAUUGACGUUACCCGCAGAAGAAGCACCGGCUAACUCCGUGCCAGCAGCCGCGGUAAUACGGAGGGUGCAAGCGUUAAUCGGAAUUACUGGGCGUAAAGCGCACGCAGGCGGUCUGUCAAGUCGGAUGUGAAAUCCCCAGGCUCAACCUGGGAACUGCAUUCGAAACUGGCAGGCUAGAGUCUUGGAGAGGGGGGUAGAAUUCCAGGUGUAGCGGUGAAAUGCGUAGAGAUCUGGAGGAAUACCGGUGGCGAAGGCGGCCCCCUGGACAAAGACUGACGCUCAGGUGCGAAAGCGUGGGGAGCAAACAGGAUUAGAUACCCGAGUAGUC